This 4241-nucleotide long non-coding RNA is filed under the name Equus caballus (horse). Its description in RNAcentral is "lncRNA (ENSECAG00000045907.1)". The record is from RNAcentral. Lineage: Eukaryota; Metazoa; Chordata; Mammalia; Perissodactyla; Equidae.
AGCGAACUUACAUAUAAUUACCUGAUAUUUCAGUUUUUUCUUUGACUUUGGUAUUUAGAUCAUUUAAAAAUUUCCAAGUGUUGAGGUCUGUUGUUCUUUAAAUUUUUAUUAAUUUCUAGGUUUAUUGCAUUGUGGUCAAGGAGUGUAGCUUCUAUUAUUUCUGCUUUUUGGAAAUAGUUGGGGCUUUCUUUGUGACCUACAAUAUGAUCCAUUUUGAAAAAAAUUUAUAUGUUUAUCAGAAAAGAAUGAAGGGGCAUAUUAAUACCCCCCAUAACCUAGUUCUAUAAUUAGCAUAUAAUAAUUGUUCAAAAACUGUUUAUUAGUGAACUUGAACAUCAAUUAAUUAAAUGCUAAUUCAUCUUUUAUAUUUAUUCUAAUUCUCUAUGUCAUUUACUUUUACUGUUUUAUUCUCCAGUCUCCUAAUUUUUUUUUUUUCUUGCAGGGAAAGAUUCACCCUGAGCUAACAUCUGUUGCCAAUAUUCCUCCUCUUUUCAUUUUCUCCCCAAAGUCCUAGUGGUUGUAUAUCCUAGUUGUAAGUCGUUCUAGUUCUUCUGUGUGAGCUGCCACCACGGCAUGGCAACUCACAGACAGGUGGAGUGGCUCCUCAACUGUAAAGCGAACCCUGGCCACCAAAGCAAAGUGUGCCGAACUUUAACCACUAGGCCAUCAGGGUUGGCUCUGGUCUCCUAAUGUAUAUCUUGCUUUAUCCCUUACUCCCCUUCCCAAAUAAAGCGGACUUACAGCAGAUGUGUUAACAUCUUCCAUUUCAAUUGGAGUCCUGAGACGUUUUUCUUUGAAUUUUCAACCCUUUGUAUGCUAGCAUUUUCGGGCUGUGUUACCCAGUACAUGGAUACUGAUGUGUGCUAUAAUUUCACGGUGGGUGGCAUAGCUAUCAGUGUAAAACUUCCUUUGCUCCAUUCAGUGUGUUGGCCUUGAUUUAUUCUUUGACCGAAAUUCAUAUUCUGAUCCCUGCUGUCUUUGUGUUUGCAUUCAUCUGAUAAAUUUUUGUCUGUCCUCUUCUUUAAGCCUUUCUGCAUCAUUUUCUUUUAGCUGAGUCCUUUUGAAGCAACACAUACCAUAAUUGAAUUUUAUUUUUAAACCCAACUGAUAAAUUUGGUUUAAUUUCUGCCGUCUUGUUUUAUGUGUUGGGGGUUUUAUAAAACCCUGCCAUUUCCUAAGUUCUAUGCCUUUUGGUUAAACUGACUGUCCCUUAUCUCUUUCUAUAUUCUCUAGUCAUUUGAGAAGCACACUUCUUGUUUUAGCCGUAGUGGUUCAUGCCUUUCUUUAUUCAGUGUGUAUUUGGUGGCAGGCACUGUUCUAGGCACUAUGGAUAUAUGAUAAAAGAGACAAAGUCUUUCUCUCAAGGUGCUUUCCUUCUAAUGGGGGGACAGACAAUAAACACACAAGUACAUAAUUAUUAAGAUGUACAGGGCAUGAGGCGUGCCAUGGAAAUAUGCCAGAGGAAUGUGAGGGAGGGUGGCUGGAGGGCCUGUAUUAUUGGGUGAUCAGAGAAGACCUCCCUGGAGGAUGCUACAUUUAAGCUGAUUGGUGACAGGAGACAGAGGAAGGAGAUAAAACUCCCCUGUGAAGGCUGCCCUCCCUCUGCCAGGAGGAAAGGAACAUUCUCAUCACCAGAGACAAGGAGUUGAGGCCAAGAAGAAUCUGUGCAAACACGUCUUGUGAAAAUAACCCUUCUGUUCCUUUUGCCUCUUUAGUUAUUUUUUGCCGUUCACUACACUUUCUUCAGCCUAGUAUAUAAGCACCGAGGCCUAACAGCGUUUUGGGUCUCUGUUUUCCUGUGGAGGCUCCUGUGUCCAUGUAAAAAUAGAAUUUGUAUGUUUUUCUCCUGUUGAUCUGUCUUAUGUCAACUGAAUUCUCCAGUCCACCAGUCCAGCCAGAGACUCUGAGAAGACAGAGGAAAAGUGUGCCUCCUUGCACCAUGAAGAUGUGUGUAGAAUUCUUGUCUACUGUGGUAGAUUGUCUGCAAAGAUGGCCCCCGACAGUUUCUCCCAUCCUACUAUGCGCAUACCACUCUUCCCAUCAAGAGGCUACUGAGUGACGAGACACCAUGUGGACAGAGUCGUGACAGCUUGCAGCUGUUCCUGCCGCUCUGGCUGAGGCUACAGGCGUUGGGACGCCUACCACAGCAUGGCUUGCCAAGCAGUGCCAUGUCCGCACCCAGGAUCUGAACAGGCGAACCCUGGGCCGCCGAAGCAGAAUGUGCACACUUAACUGCUACGCGACCAGGCUGGCCCCUAAAAAGGGGAAACCACAAUAGAGGCUCUUGCCCAUGUCUCCUCUGGCUCCCUCUGCCUCCUCACCAACCCUGGUGCUGCCCCACAGGUUCCUCUGUGGCAUGGCGUGCCGCCUCCUCUUGGAAACUCUCCUGAGCCUCCGCGCUAGCUGCUCCUCUGUGGUCCCCUGCGUAUCCGUACCUCUGGCAUACAGCACAGUCUUGAAGGUUUCAUCUGCCUGGAGACAGUUGGCACACAGCAGAGUGAGAAGCGGCCAUCGUACACUCCAGCACCUGCAUCCUCUGUGUCCCUACUCACCUGCCAGAUGUCUAAAGGCAGGGACUGUGAUCAUCCUAUACAUCUUGAGGAUGUCUCCUACUGUCCCAACCUGGCCCCGGCCUCAGCCUCUGCCCGUUUCCAAGGAGCUCUGGCUGCUUGUCUUUGUUGGAGCUGAUGUUUCACAGGGAAAGCCCUGCCCCACCCUUCUGCCUGCCUUCUAGCUUAGGCCGUCAGCCCAGCCGCAUAAGAGCAAACGGGAGAAGAAGUCGCAGAAGUCUUGGUCUCGCAUGUGUGCCCCAUCCCCGUUAGACAGUGCCCCUGACCACCCAGUGGCCAAGCCUCCUCCCACAAACUGGCGGCCAGCCCUCAUCUUGGCAGAACCACAGGCAGAUCUGGUCCCAUCUUGGGUGCACGGGGGAGGGUGUGCAGGUGCCGGGCCGUGGCUUUGUGGCCCGGGCACUUCCAGGUGCUGCCUGGAAUGGAUCUCCCACAGAAACACUGUUUCAAAGAUGGCACACUUGGAGAGUUCUGUUUGUUCUGUUUGUACAAAUGGCCCCACCUGGAAAGGGAAACAGAGGGCUUAAACAGUGUUGUGAGAUUUUCCCAUGUUUACCAAUAGUUUUAACUUUUUCCUGUAAAUAGUUAAGGUCCAAUCAAAGAGACCCGAUGUGUUGAUAGACUCAGUAUUAUUUCUAUGUGGCUGUCUGAAUCAUCAUUGGAUUCGUUUCUUAGGGCUGCCGUAACACAUCACCACAAAUGUGGUGACUUAAAACGAUGGAUACGUAUUCUCUCACAGUUCCAGAGGCCAGGAGUCCAAAAUCCCUCAGAGUUGGUUCCUUGCUGGGGGCUCCAGGGAGCAUCUGUACAGGCCUCUCUCUUAGCUUCUUGGAGGCUGUUGGCAGUCUUGGCAUUGCUCAGCUGUGGCAGCAUCACUCCAGCCUCUGCCUCCGUGGUCACAUGGCAUUCUCUGUGUGUGUCUGCAUCCCAAUUUCCCUCUUCUUAUAAGGACACCAGUUGUUGUCUUAGGGCCCACCCAAAUCAGUAUGAUCUCAUCUUAACUUGAUUAUGUCUAUGAAGACUCUAUUUCCAAAUGAGGUCACCUCCACAGGUAGCAGAAAAUAGGACUUGAACAUAUUUUUUUGAGGGGGGACACAAUUCAAUCCACAACGAUUAUCAAAGUAAAUUAAAAGAGAAUAGGGGCUGAGCCCAUGGCCAAAUGGUUGAGUUCGCGUGCUCCGCUUCGGCGGCCCAGGGUUCACCAGUUCAGAUCCUGGGUGUGGACAUAGAACCACUUAUCAAGCCAUGCUGUGGCAGCAUCCCACGUAGAACUAGAAUGACUUACAACUAGGAUAUACAACUGUGUACUGGGGCUUUGGGGAGGGAAAAAGAAAGAGGAAGAUUGGCAACAGAUGUGAGCUCAGGGUCAAUCUUCCUCACCAAAAAGCUUUAAAAAAAAAGAAUUAGAAUAGUGACAUGUGACAAAUGUUAUUUGAAUAAUGGUGUAGUGAGAUAUUCCUAGGUUUACCAAUAGUCACAACUUUUUCAAAUACAGAAAGACUGGUUUAUACUUGGAUUACUGAAAAAUGGAAAGAUAAAUGUUUUCACCUCUCUUAAACUCCUAAUUAACACAUGCAAGUGGAAAAUGGGGAAUAAACACAAGUAGUCCUUUACAAGAAAUGGCAAAACAAACAUAGAGAAAUCUUAUUCAUACAAGUAUGAAAAAAUCAG